Molecule: small RNA, 107 nt
Filed under: Citrobacter amalonaticus
Lineage: Bacteria; Pseudomonadati; Pseudomonadota; Gammaproteobacteria; Enterobacterales; Enterobacteriaceae
Also listed under: 1 other name
Description: SraH
Rfam family: ArcZ RNA
About the family: This RNA was discovered in E. coli during a large scale screen. SraH expression is highly abundant in stationary phase, but low levels could be detected in exponentially growing cells as well.
Source: RNAcentral
GUGCGGCCCGAAUUUACGCGCUGCGCCUUUUAAAUCACAAUUAUAACUUACGGCGCAGCCAUGAUUUCCCUGGUGUUGGCGCAGUAUUCGCGCACCCCGGUCAAGCC